This 434-nucleotide ribosomal RNA is filed under the name Parapsyche sp. XZ CN4. RNAcentral describes it as "eukaryotic LSU rRNA". Lineage: Eukaryota; Metazoa; Arthropoda; Insecta; Trichoptera; Hydropsychidae. The record is from RNAcentral.
GCCCCUCUAAGUAAGUAGCGGCAAGGCGCGCCCAGGCGCCGCCCCGCAAGCCGCAGCCGCCGAAGCCAGCAGNUGCAGCGCGAGGCAGCGGCAGCCCGGGGGCCUCGCGCACGUGAAGAGGGAGUCAUAUUGUGGCGCUGGGCAAGCAGCGCCGCCAGCUUGCGCGGCACGCCAACAGGGCAGCAGCGGCCAUUUUGCCGCUGCCGCCUCGGCGCCGCAGCGCCGGCGGCAGCCUGCCAUCUCUUGCUCCAAGCGCAGGCGGUUAUAAAUAUAUCCGCAGGCAGCGCGACGCCGCCGCGAGGGGCGAGCCUGGAGCCGCGCGUUCGCAGGCGCCCAAGGCGCGCAGCCGUGCUCGCAGCGUAAAGUGCGCCGCGCCAGAGCCUGCCCUGCGCAGGGCCAGACGCCACCAAAACAAAGCCCGUGAGUGUCCUGGG